Molecule: transfer RNA, 71 nt
Filed under: Schistocephalus solidus
Lineage: Eukaryota; Metazoa; Platyhelminthes; Cestoda; Diphyllobothriidea; Diphyllobothriidae
Rfam family: tRNA
About the family: Transfer RNA (tRNA) molecules are approximately 80 nucleotides in length.
Source: Rfam by way of RNAcentral
GCCUCUGGCUCAAUGGUUAGAGCGUUUGACUUGUGAUCAACAGAUCACGGGUUCGAGCCUCGAGUGGGGCA